AAAAAAUUUUCAUUUUUGUAGAAAAAAAGCCGGGGAAACUAUAUAUGUUUCAAAAAUGUACCUGAAAAAUUUCAAGUCUAAAUAUCAAACAUGUCGGAAGUCAUGGGCCGUUGAAUGGAGCGGUGUCAAACUGACUAGGCAUUUUUUCUACGGCGGACAGAUCUUUCACCAGCGGGAAAAGUCGCUGCCGACCACCCGCCAUUGAUCAGUGCCCCCCUUCCCUCCUUUUUAUGUAACGACCCAAAAAAUUUUGUAGU
Belonocnema kinseyi is the source of this 257-nucleotide long non-coding RNA. RefSeq lists it as uncharacterized. The record is from RefSeq and is a predicted model, not a curated record. The transcript has 3 exons. Lineage: Eukaryota; Metazoa; Arthropoda; Insecta; Hymenoptera; Cynipidae.